AUUGAACGCUGGCGGCAGGCCUAACACAUGCAAGUCGAGCGAGCGGCGGACGGGUGAGUAAUGUCUGGGAAACUGCCUGAUGGAGGGGGAUAACUACUGGAAACGGUAGCUAAUACCGCAUACCAUCAGAUGUGCCCAGCUGGGAUUAGCUCGUAGGUGGGGUAACGGCUCACCUAGGCGACGAGCCCUAGCUGGUCUGAGAGGAUGACCAGCGACGCUGGAACUGAGACACGGUCCGUACUCCUACGGGAGGCAGCAGUGGGGAAUAUUGCACAAUGGGAGCAGGCCUGAUGCAGCCAUGCCGCGUGUGUGAAGAAGGCCUUCGGGUUGUAAAGCACUUUCAGCGGGGAGGCGUUACCCGCAGAAGAAGCACCGGCUAACUCCGUGCCAGCAGGCGCGGUAAUAC
Molecule: ribosomal RNA, 406 nt
Filed under: uncultured bacterium
Lineage: Bacteria
Description: partial 16S ribosomal RNA
Rfam family: Bacterial small subunit ribosomal RNA
Source: RNAcentral